CGCGUGUGUGAAGAAGGCCUUCGGGUUGUAAAGCCCUUUUGUCCGGAAAGCACUGGCUCUGGUUAAUACCUGGGGUCGAUGACGGUACCGGAAGAAUAAGGACCGGCUAACUACGUGCCAGCAGCCGCGGUAAUACGUAGGGUCCAAGCGUUAAUCGGAAUUACUGGGCGUAAAGCGUGCGCAGGCGGUUGUGCAAGACCGAUGUGAAAUCCCCGAGCUUAACUUGGGAAUUGCAUUGGUGACUGCACGGCUAG
This 254-nucleotide ribosomal RNA is filed under the name Mycobacterium tuberculosis. RNAcentral describes it as "partial 16S ribosomal RNA". It matches the Rfam family "Bacterial small subunit ribosomal RNA", at positions 398 to 644 of the family's 1533-position model. The record is from RNAcentral. Lineage: Bacteria; Bacillati; Actinomycetota; Actinomycetes; Mycobacteriales; Mycobacteriaceae.